Molecule: transfer RNA, 73 nt
Filed under: Tursiops truncatus (common bottlenose dolphin)
Lineage: Eukaryota; Metazoa; Chordata; Mammalia; Artiodactyla; Delphinidae
Also listed under: 7 other names
Description: tRNA-Sup (TCA) (tRNA-Sup-TCA-1-1)
Rfam family: tRNA
About the family: Transfer RNA (tRNA) molecules are approximately 80 nucleotides in length. Their secondary structure includes four short double-helical elements and three loops (D, anti-codon, and T loops).
Source: Rfam by way of RNAcentral
UCCCUGGUGGUCCAGUGGUUAAGACUCUGCACUUCAACUGCAGGGGACACAGGUUCAAUCCCUGGUUAGGGAA